AUUGAACGCUGGCGGCAGGCCUAACACAUGCAAGUCGAACGAGUGGCGGACGGGUGAGUAAUGUCUGGGAAACUGCCUGAUGGAGGGGGAUAACUACUGGAAACGGUAGCUAAUACCGCAUACCAUUGGAGUUGCCCAGCUGGGAUUAGCUAUUUGGUGGGGUAACGGCUCACCAAGUGGACGAUCCCUAGCUGGUCUUAGAGGAUGACCAGCCACACUGGAACUGAGACACGGUCCAGACUCCUACGGGAGGCAGCAGUGGGGAAUAUUGCACAAUGGGCGCAAGCCUGAUGCAGCCAUGCCGCGUGUAUGAAGAAGGCCUUCGGGUGGUAAAGUACUUUCAGCGGGGAGGCGUUACCCGCAGAAGAAGCACCGGCUAACUCCGUGCCAGCAGCCGCGGUAAUUC
RNAcentral lists this ribosomal RNA (406 nucleotides) under uncultured bacterium. RNAcentral describes it as "partial 16S ribosomal RNA". It matches the Rfam family "Bacterial small subunit ribosomal RNA", at positions 30 to 526 of the family's 1533-position model. The record is from RNAcentral.